AGAGUUUGAUCCUGGCUCAGAAUGAACGCUGGCGGCGUGCCUAACACAUGCAAGUCGAACGCGAAAAGGACUUCGGUCCUGAGUAAAGUGGCGCACGGGUGAGUAACGCGUGGGUAAUCUGCCCUUGGAUUUGGAAUAACUCCGCGAAAGUGGAGCUAAUACCGGAUAGUCUGGCUUUUUAACGAAGUCGGUAAAGGAUGCCUCUGCAUAUGCAUUCGUCCGAGGAUGAGCCCGCGUCUCAUUAGCUAGUUGGUAGGGUAAUGGCCUACCAAGGCAACGAUGAGUAGCUGGUCUGAGAGGAUGAUCAGCCACACUGGAACUGAAACACGGUCCAGACUCCUACGGGAGGCAGCAGUGGGGAAUAUUGCGCAAUGGGCGAAAGCCUGACGCAGCAACGCCGUGUGAGGGAUGAAGGCUUUCGGGUCGUAAACCUCUGUCGGAAGGGAAGAACGGGCAUUGGUCUAAUAGGCCUUUGUUUUGACGGUACCUUCAGAGGAAGCACCGGCUAACUCCGUGCCAGCAGCCGCGGUAA
RNAcentral lists this ribosomal RNA (532 nucleotides) under uncultured bacterium. Its description in RNAcentral is "bacterial SSU rRNA". It matches the Rfam family "Bacterial small subunit ribosomal RNA", at positions 8 to 523 of the family's 1533-position model. The record is from RNAcentral.